This 497-nucleotide ribosomal RNA is filed under the name uncultured bacterium. RNAcentral describes it as "partial 16S ribosomal RNA". It matches the Rfam family "Bacterial small subunit ribosomal RNA", at positions 28 to 507 of the family's 1533-position model. The record is from RNAcentral.
GACGAACGCUGGCGGCGUGCCUAAUACAUGCAAGUAGAACGCUAAAGAGAGGAGCUUGCUCUUCUUGGAUGAGUUGCGAACGGGUGAGUAACGCGUAGGUAACCUGCCUUGUAGCGGGGGAUAACUAUUGGAAACGAUAGCUAAUACCGCAUAACAAUGGAUGACACAUGUCAUUUAUUUGAAAGGGGCAAUUGCUCCACUACAAGAUGGACCUGCGUUGUAUUAGCUAGUAGGUGAGGUAAUGGCUCACCUAGGCGACGAUACAUAGCCGACCUGAGAGGGUGAUCGGCCACACUGGGACUGAGACACGGCCCAGACUCCUACGGGAGGCAGCAGUAGGGAAUCUUCGGCAAUGGGGGCAACCCUGACCGAGCAACGCCGCGUGAGUGAAGAAGGUUUUCGGAUCGUAAAGUUCUGUUGUAAGUCAAGAACGGGUGUGAGAGUGGAAAGUUCACACUGUGACGGUAGCUUACCAGAAAGGGACGGCUAACUACGUG